Molecule: ribosomal RNA, 464 nt
Filed under: Vreelandella stevensii
Lineage: Bacteria; Pseudomonadati; Pseudomonadota; Gammaproteobacteria; Oceanospirillales; Halomonadaceae
Description: partial 16S ribosomal RNA
Rfam family: Bacterial small subunit ribosomal RNA
Source: RNAcentral
CUACGGGCGGCAGCAGUGGGGAAUAUUGGACAAUGGGCGAAAGCCUGAUCCAGCCAUGCCGCGUGUGUGAAGAAGGCCUUCGGGUUGUAAAGCACUUUCAGUGGGGAAGAAAGCCUUGGGGCUAAUACCCUCGAGGAAGGACAUCACCCACAGAAGAAGCACCGGCUAACUCCGUGCCAGCAGCCGCGGUAAUACGGAGGGUGCGAGCGUUAAUCGGAAUUACUGGGCGUAAAGCGCGCGUAGGCGGUCUGAUAAGCCGGUUGUGAAAGCCCCGGGCUCAACCUGGGAACGGCAUCCGGAACUGUCAGGCUAGAGUGCAGGAGAGGAAGGUAGAAUUCCCGGUGUAGCGGUGAAAUGCGUAGAAAUCGGGAGGAAUACCAGUGGCGAAGGCGGCCUUCUGGACUGACACUGACGCUGAGGUGCGAAAGCGUGGGUAGCAAACAGGAUUAGAUACCCCUGUAGUC